RNAcentral lists this ribosomal RNA (593 nucleotides) under Escherichia coli. RNAcentral describes it as "partial 23S ribosomal RNA". It matches the Rfam family "Bacterial large subunit ribosomal RNA", at positions 323 to 922 of the family's 2925-position model. Lineage: Bacteria; Pseudomonadati; Pseudomonadota; Gammaproteobacteria; Enterobacterales; Enterobacteriaceae. The record is from RNAcentral.
UGUGUGUUAGUGGAAGCGUCUGGAAAGGCGCGCGAUACAGGGUGACAGCCCCGUACACAAAAAUGCACAUGCUGUGAGCUCGAUGAGUAGGGCGGGACACGUGGUAUCCUGUCUGAAUAUGGGGGGACCAUCCUCCAAGGCUAAAUACUCCUGACUGACCGAUAGUGAACCAGUACCGUGAGGGAAAGGCGAAAAGAACCCCGGCGAGGGGAGUGAAAAAGAACCUGAAACCGUGUACGUACAAGCAGUGGGAGCCUCUUUAUGGGGUGACUGCGUACCUUUUGUAUAAUGGGUCAGCGACUUAUAUUCUGUAGCAAGGUUAACCGAAUAGGGGAGCCGAAGGGAAACCGAGUCUUAACUGGGCGUUAAGUUGCAGGGUAUAGACCCGAAACCCGGUGAUCUAGCCAUGGGCAGGUUGAAGGUUGGGUAACACUAACUGGAGGACCGAACCGACUAAUGUUGAAAAAUUAGCGGAUGACUUGUGGCUGGGGGUGAAAGGCCAAUCAAACCGGGAGAUAGCUGGUUCUCCCCGAAAGCUAUUUAGGUAGCGCCUCGUGAAUUCAUCUCCGGGGGUAGAGCACUGUUUCGGCAAG